UGGGGAAUCUUGCACAAUGGGCGCAAGCCUGAUGCAGCCAUGCCGCGUGAGUGAUGAAGGCCCUAGGGUUGUAAAGCUCUUUCAGUGGGGAAGAUAAUGACGGUACCCACAGAAGAAGCCCCGGCUAACUCCGUGCCAGCAGCCGCGGUAAUACGGAGGGUGCGAGCGUUAAUCGGAAUUACUGGGCGUAAAGCGCGCGUAGGCGGCUUGGUCAGUCGGAUGUGAAAGCCCCGGGCUUAACCUGGGAAUUGCAUUCGAUACUGCCGAGCUAGAGUAUGGUAGAGGGAAGUGGAAUUUCCGGUGUAGCGGUGAAAUGCGUAGAUAUCGGAAGGAACACCAGUGGCGAAGGCGACUUCCUGGGCCAAUACUGACGCUGAGGUGCGAAAGCGUGGGGAGCAAACAGGAUUAGAUACCCCCGUAGUCC
Molecule: ribosomal RNA, 424 nt
Filed under: uncultured prokaryote
Description: bacterial SSU rRNA
Rfam family: Bacterial small subunit ribosomal RNA
Source: RNAcentral